CGGACGUGCAGGCUGAAACUCGCCUGCACGAAGUUGGAAUUGCUAGUAAUCGCGGAUCAGCAUGCCGCGGUGAAUACGUUCCCGGGUCUUGUACACACCGCCCGUCACACCAUGGGAGCUGGUAACACCCGAAGUCAGUAGUCUAACCGCAAGGAGGACGCUGCCGAAGGUGGGAUUAGCGACUGGGGUGAAGUCGUAACAAGGUACC
RNAcentral lists this ribosomal RNA (208 nucleotides) under uncultured bacterium. RNAcentral describes it as "partial 16S ribosomal RNA". It matches the Rfam family "Bacterial small subunit ribosomal RNA", at positions 1288 to 1500 of the family's 1533-position model. The record is from RNAcentral.